Molecule: ribosomal RNA, 253 nt
Filed under: uncultured bacterium
Lineage: Bacteria
Description: partial 16S ribosomal RNA
Rfam family: Archaeal small subunit ribosomal RNA
Source: RNAcentral
UACCAGCACCCCGAGUGGUCGGGACGUUUAUUGGGCCUAAAGCAUCCGUAGCCGGUUCUACAAGUCUUCCGUUAAAUCCACCUGCUCAACAGAUGGGCUGCGGAAGAUACUAUGGAGCUAGGAGGCGGGAGAGGCAAGCGGUACUCGAUGGGUAGGGGUAAAAUCCGUUGAUCCACUGAAGACCACCAGUGGCGAAGGCGGCUUGCCAGAACGCGCUCGACGGUGAGGGAUGAAAGCUGGGGGAGCAAACCGG